AUUGAAUAAGCCAGUGAUAUC
This 21-nucleotide small nuclear RNA is filed under the name Arabidopsis thaliana (thale cress). RNAcentral describes it as "snRNA_13074". Lineage: Eukaryota; Viridiplantae; Streptophyta; Magnoliopsida; Brassicales; Brassicaceae. The record is from RNAcentral.